RNAcentral lists this ribosomal RNA (253 nucleotides) under uncultured bacterium. RNAcentral's name for it is "partial 16S ribosomal RNA". It matches the Rfam family "Bacterial small subunit ribosomal RNA", at positions 524 to 776 of the family's 1533-position model. The record is from RNAcentral.
UACGUAGGGGGCAAGCGUUGUCCGGAAUCAUUGGGCGUAAAGAGCGUGUAGGCGGUUCGGUAAGUCGGCUGUGAAAGUCCAGGGCUCAACCCUGGGAUGCCGGUCGAUACUGCCGGACUAGAGUUCGGAAGAGGCGAGUGGAAUUCCCGGUGUAGCGGUGAAAUGCGCAGAUAUCAGGAAGGACACCCGUGGCGAAGGCGGCUCUCUGGGACGGUACUGACGCUGAGACGCGAAAGCGUGGGGAGCGAACAGG